Molecule: ribosomal RNA, 497 nt
Filed under: uncultured bacterium
Lineage: Bacteria
Description: partial 16S ribosomal RNA
Rfam family: Bacterial small subunit ribosomal RNA
Source: RNAcentral
GACGAACGCUGGCGGCGUGCCUAAUACAUGCAAGUUGAGCGAUGAAGCUUGGUGCUUGCACCAAUUUGAAGAGCAGCGAACGGGUGAGUAACGCGUGGGGAAUCUGCCUUUGAGCGGGGGACAACAUUUGGAAACGAAUGCUAAUACCGCAUAACAACUUUAAACAUAAGUUUUAAGUUUGAAAGAUGCAAUUGCAUCACUCAAAGAUGAUCCCGCGUUGUAUUAGCUAGUUGGUGAGGUAAAGGCUCACCAAGGCGAUGAUACAUAGCCGACCUGAGAGGGUGGUCGGCCACAUUGGGACUGAGACACGGCCCAAACUCCUACGGGAGGCAGCAGUAGGGAAUCUUCGGCAAUGGACGAAAGUCUGACCGAGCAACGCCGCGGGAGUGAAGAAGGUUUUCGGAUCGUAAAACUCUGUUGGUAGGGAAGAACGUUGGUGAGAGUGGAAAGCUCAUCAAGUGACGGUAACUACCCAGAAAGGGACGGCUAACUACGUG